This 200-nucleotide unclassified non-coding RNA is filed under the name soil metagenome. Its description in RNAcentral is "partial contains internal transcribed spacer 2 and large subunit ribosomal RNA". The record is from RNAcentral.
CCUGUCCGAGCGUCAUGAGACCAAUCAAGCUCUGCUUGGUAUUAGGCCGCACCAGCAAUGGCCGGCGUCAACUCCAGUGGCGGUGUCGCGGGGCUCCGAACGUAGUAACAUCGUUCGUUGCGGACUUCCGCGGUGCGCGACCAGAAACCCCAACUCUUCAGGUUGACCUCGGAUCAGGUAGGAGUACCCGCUGAACUUAA